This 468-nucleotide ribosomal RNA is filed under the name uncultured bacterium. Its description in RNAcentral is "partial 16S ribosomal RNA". It matches the Rfam family "Bacterial small subunit ribosomal RNA", at positions 28 to 507 of the family's 1533-position model. The record is from RNAcentral.
GACGAACGCUGGCGGCGUGCUUAACACAUGCAAGUCGAACGGAAAGGCCCUGCUUUUGUGGGUUGCUCGAGUGGCGAACGGGUGAGUAACACGCGAGUAACCUGCCCUUAACUUUGUGAGAACUUUACGAAACUGGGGCUAAUACCCCGUAGAAUAUCCUGCAGUACGGGGGGGGUUAGAAAGUUUCGGCUGUGCGGGCUGGAAUCGAUGCUUAUCAGCUGGUUGGGGGGGUAGUGGCGUACAAGGGCUACGACGGCUAGCCGGCCUGAGAGGGUUACCGGGCACCUUGGGCCUGAGGGACGGACCAGAAGGCUACGGGCGGCAGCAGGGGGGAAUAUUGCACAAUGGGCGCACGCCUGAUGCGGAGACGCUGCGUGCGGAAUGACGGGUUUCGGGUUGUGAACAGAUUUGGCAGGUGCCGUAGACUGCGUGACGGUACUGGGUCAAGAAGCCCCGGCUAACUACGUG